GGGGAAUCUUGCACAAUGGGGGAAACCCUGAUGCAGCGACGCCGCGUGAGCGAUGAAGCCCUUCGGGGCGUAAAGCUCUUUCGACCGGAACGAUAAUGACGGUACCGGGAGAAGAAGCUGCGGCUAACUACGUGCCAGCAGCCGCGGUAAUACGUAGGCAGCAAGCGUUGUUCGGAGUUACUGGGCGUAAAGAGUGCGUAGGCGGUUUUCUAAGUUCGGUGUGAAAUCUCCCGGCUUAACUGGGAGGGUGCGCCGAAGACUGGGAAGCUGGAGUGUGGGAAAGGCAGGCGGAAUUCCUGGUGUAGCGGUGAAAUGCGUAGAUAUCAGGAGGAACACCGGCGGUGUAGACGGCUUGCUAGACCAUAACUGACGCUGAGGCACGAAAGCGUGGGUAGCAAACA
RNAcentral lists this ribosomal RNA (401 nucleotides) under uncultured bacterium. RNAcentral describes it as "bacterial SSU rRNA". It matches the Rfam family "Bacterial small subunit ribosomal RNA", at positions 356 to 774 of the family's 1533-position model. The record is from RNAcentral.